AGUAGGCACAGGCACCCCGGGCUCCUGGCACAUGUGUCAUGCACCUGCCCUCCUCUCUUGGCCCUGGGGAGAUCUCUGGCCCCACCUCUAGGGGGAUUUAACUGUUCCUGGGCUUGAGGAGCCUGGCUGAUACUGCUUCCCUGGGACAGAGGCAUUGUGACACAGCUGUGGAACCUGAUGAUGUCACCGCCACCCAGCAGGCUCCCUGUACAUCAACUGGCAGUUGGAGGAUACCAGACGCAGCUGGGUUGGUUUUCUAGACUGGAGGUGGACAGAUUCCAGGUAGAGGUGGGUGGGAGCUGCUCUCCUUGUGCCCAGAGCAGGGGCCAGUGACUAUGAGGCAAGUGGUGCUGACCUCUCAGGGCUGCUGCCCACUGUGAUGGCAGCUGAGCACUCAGCAGCCCAUUGUGUGCUGUGUAUACAGUUGUCUCAUAAUUCCUCCCAGUGACCCAGUGGGGUGCGUGAGAACCUGUCCCUGGUGUGAGUCUGUGCUGGGAGAUGGGUUGUGGGUGGGUGAUCAGGUCAGCGCUGACAGCUGGGGCAGCUUGUUCUGCUGUGGGUGCACCAGAGAUGUGGACACUCUGUCUGGGAGUUGGCUGAGGAGGCUCCUUCCUCCUGUCCCCUCCGGGUAGAGGGACAGGGGCUGCCCCCGCUAGCCUGCCUUGUGUCCGCGUCUCCUGGACCAGAUCGCUCUUGGUUUCUGAGUACUGGGUGCCGCUGGUCUGGCUGUGAAGUCAUUUCUCACUGUGAUUAGAGGGCCAGAAGCCUAAGGGAGCCAGCCUGUGGUUCUCGGCAGGUGUGUCAUGCUUGCAUCUUGGUGUUGCAGCUUGGAAAUUGGAAGCCCUUGAGAUUCUGGUGGCCUCGGAGUGAGCAGUUACCAUUAGCUAGUAUCUGUAUAGGUGUAGGCCUGGCAGCUGCCUGCUGGUGCCCUGGUCACAGUGUCUGGACUCCUUCAGUCUGCAAGAGAGGUCAGAGCUGUCCUGUUUCCUGCUGGGGCCUUGGUCUGCUACCCAGGUCCCAUGGGGGCUGCAGGGUUGCUGGUGAUGCCCUGAGAAGAGAAAGACGAGCCGCCCUGCCCCUUGGCAGGCAGGCGGAGGACCAACACUUCAGUGAGCCGUCUGCACCACCUCAUCUCAGGACAGGUGAGUGCCCCAUCGCCAUCUGACAGGGGUGUGAAGUCUGUGUCCUCAAGCGCAGGUAAGUUGAAUGCUGCAACUUCAGGUUGUGGAAUGUGGAACACCCUGUCUGCACUGGAUGGAAGCGAACGCCAUGUCCUCUCCUAAAUGAAGGUACUGUUGUCAGGUGGGAGGUGUGAAUACAAUUUCACCUGAUGGAAGGCUGAAUGCGAUUUUACCAAAUGACAGUCAUGUUAACAUCCUGCUUUCCCAUGAAUGCCCUGAACUGAUUUGAUGGAAGGAUGAAUGCACUAUUCUUCACUGGUGGAAGGAUAAUCACAUUGUGCUCAUUUGAGGUGUGUUGAAUGCCUUCUCACCCGAUGGAAAAUCCAGGCCCAGGUACUGACUCCAUAGUAAGCAGAAGGUUGUGUCUGCAUGUGGGACAGAGUGAAGGCCCUGUCUUCACAUCAUGACAGGCUGAAUGCAAAUCAUCAAGGGAUGGUGGAGUGAAGGCCCUGUCUUCAGUGAUGAAAAGGAGAACUCCAUCCC
This is a long non-coding RNA of Oryctolagus cuniculus (rabbit), 1664 nucleotides long. NCBI's taxonomy places the organism in Eukaryota, Metazoa, Chordata, Mammalia, Lagomorpha, Leporidae. The record is from Ensembl.